Molecule: long non-coding RNA, 407 nt
Filed under: Carassius auratus (goldfish)
Lineage: Eukaryota; Metazoa; Chordata; Actinopteri; Cypriniformes; Cyprinidae
Description: lncRNA (ENSCARG00000000149.1)
Source: RNAcentral
AUGUAUGUAUAUGUUAAUAUUUUAUUGAAACCAUUGAUGUCCCUCUUUGCAGAACUCAAACUAACUGGAGUUAAGGACACAGAAGUCUGCUUGUGUGAGGAGGUGGUUUUCUCAGCUUCUUCUGAAGAGAGGGAAAGAUCGUUUAAGAACUCAAACCAACUUUGGAGUUGUCUGAUUUGGAGAGUCAUUAUUCUUGGUCUUCGCUCUUAGAGGUAAAGUUCACACAAAAAAUCAUUUACUUGCCCUCAAGUCAUUCCAAACCUAUAAGACUUUUGUCUGCCUUUACAACAUAAAUUAAUAUAUUUUUAGUUUUCUCAUAAUAUUUGUUAAUCCAUUUAUAGUUUAGAUAAUCAGUAUUUUCAAGCUUCAUAAAUAUAGAGUUAUUGUAGAAGUAAAUUCUGAUAUUU